RNAcentral lists this ribosomal RNA (486 nucleotides) under uncultured bacterium. RNAcentral's name for it is "partial 16S ribosomal RNA". It matches the Rfam family "Bacterial small subunit ribosomal RNA", at positions 30 to 507 of the family's 1533-position model. The record is from RNAcentral.
AUUGAACGCUGGCGGCAUGCCUUACACAUGCAAGUCGAACGGCAGCACGGGUGCUUGCCCCUGGUGGCGAGUGGCGAACGGGUGAGUAAUACAUCGGAACAUGUCCUGUAGUGGGGGAUAGCCCGGCGAAAGCCGGAUUAAUACCGCAUACGAUCUACGGAUGAGAGCGGGGGACCUUCGGGCCUCGCGCUAUAGGGUUGGCCGAUGGCUGAUUAGCUAGUUGGUGGGGUAAAGGCCUACCAAGGCGACGAUCAGUAGCUGGUCUGAGAGGACGACCAGCCACACUGGGACUGAGACACGGCCCAGACUCCUACGGGAGGCAGCAGUGGGGAAUUUUGGACAAUGGGCGAAAGCCUGAUCCAGCAAUGCCGCGUGUGUGAAGAAGGCCUUCGGGUUGUAAAGCACUUUUGUCCGGAAAGAAAUCCUUGGCCCUAAUACGGUCGGGGGAUGACGGUACCGGAAGAAUAAGCACCGGCUAACUACGUG